This 2707-nucleotide long non-coding RNA is filed under the name Homo sapiens (human). RNAcentral describes it as "HSALNT0212966". Lineage: Eukaryota; Metazoa; Chordata; Mammalia; Primates; Hominidae. The record is from RNAcentral.
GACAAGAGCAGCCCCCGCACUGAGAGUUCUAAAAUGUGGCCACCCUGGUCGUGAAUAAUGACCAUGUCACCCUAAUUAUUUGUUUAGAUAACAAUCUUCUCUCCCCCAUCCUAAAAUUCCCAGUCAGGUCUCAGUAGACAAUAGCGAACAAACACUACGUGGAAGGAAGAAAUUACUUGGAAAAAGGAAUUCAGAGCGUCGCAUCAAUACUGAAGGUUUCUCAAAGCUGCAGCCCCCUGUAUCCAGCAUUCGGACACAUGAUUGGGCAGCCUUCGCUCCCCUUCCUGGUUCUUCAGUCCCACCAGGAGAAGCUGAACCAGGUCUCCAGAACCAGGUGGGCUGAGAGGCAGAGGCUUGACCGUCUUCCUCUGUCCAUAGGCCAUGACUGGUCUCACCUAAAGGAUGCCCCAGCUCUGAAGGUCAAGGAACCAGCCUGGCCUCUUGCAAAGUCUCUCCCGAUGGAUAACAAGUACUGACUGGCUAUGGCGGGGCCUUGGCACCAUUUCCACAAUGUUUCCUCCCAUGUCUCUGCGCGUCUCCCUCCCUCCCCGCCCCCAUCUAGUAACUUUAAGCAGUGGCUCAAGACCAGGCUGGCUGUGGAUGCCACUGCUGGGGUUCUAGAAGGCAACUCUUUGUCUCCACAGACACCAAGGAACAAGAAAGGGUUUCAAGACCCCAAGUCUAGAAGUUUCCAGUGAGGCUUGCCAUAAACGACAACUUCUCCACAGCCCUUUGUUCCUCAGAAACCAAGUCCCAGGCCUGAAAACGUGCCAGAGUCUGUGGCUCAGCAGAAAGCAGGUGCUCAGAGGAGAUGGGCUCAACUCUUAUCAAGACCCUCACUACUAGCGUCAUGCCUCCAAACUAGUGUCGCCGGGCCUGCGCCAGUUCUCCUGGAAGCUCACACCUCCCGGUCAUCUCCACUGCAUGUCUGGGAAAAACUUCCUUGGCCCUCAAGUUGAAAUUUCAGCUGCUUGGACUGUGCCUCAGUUUCCUCAUCUGUAAAAUGGCAGUCGUCGUACCUACCUUGUGGGGUUGUGAUGAUUAAAUGAGACAAGACAUGAACAUGUAAACCCAUUAGCAUAAGGCCUGUACCAUAGUGAGAGCUCAGUAAGUGCUAGUAGUAGUAGUAUCUGUUGCUGUUCUUAUUGUUGACUUCAUCAUCAUUACCUUCUGGGGGCUCAGCCACCGGGGGAUUUAAACAGUACAUGUGAUAGCCUCGGUCACAGUCAUCGCAGAAGAGUAGCUGGUCCUGGUGGAACACAGAGUAAGCACAGAGGAGGAGAGAUUCCAUUAUUCGGGGCCAAUGUCUGGCCCCCGCUUACCCAUCAGCCUUAUUUCCACGUCGGUCUCACUGGAUCCCCUUUCCAGGCCCCACUUGGAGUCCUCACUGUCCCCUGAACACGCCUGUGCUUUUCCCACAACUGGAGUUUCCCCCUCUACCUCCCAGCCUAUAUAAAUCCUACCCCCAUUUUAGGGUUCUGCUCAACUCGUACCUCCUCCAAGACGCCUUCUGUGACUAACACCUCACAUCCAAAUUUAAAGGGAUCCCUUAUUCUUCUGAACUUCCAAAGCCAAUAGCUCUGCUUCCAAAGGGCAGAAAAUGUCUCUAUUCUCCAUGACUUUAUAUAUUUGAAGAUCUUAAUUGAAUUCUUCUGGACUCCACUCUCUCCAUCUGUGAAAUGGCCAACAGCUGUACUGGGAUGAACCUCAGAACCUCUUCAGGGUUUCAUUAGAAUGUAGAAAAAUGCAAGUAGCGCCAUCCCUCGGCUUCCAGAAGCUUCCUCACUGUCUGGAGGCUGGAGCCCGGGUGAGAGCAGGGCACCCCAGGGUUGUGGUUAACUUCAAAGGACACAGGCCAUAUCUUUGCACCUAUGGCUACUUCUGCCUGGAGGCUCUCCCAGGCCCUGACCCUUUCUCUGCAUGUCCAUUCCCUGCCUGCCCUUCAAGUACGUCUUCUUCAAGCACUUCUUUUCCACAAAGUCUUUGCUAAUCUACCUCAACUGGAAGUUGUCUCUUCCCUCGUGCAGCCCUGUGGUACUUUCCCUUUCUGUGACAUUUAAAUGCAUUUUCCUUUACGUUACAUGCCUGGCAUGUGGUAGACAUCUAAUCACGUUUGUUUUCUUGGCUGGGCGCUGUGGCGCAUGCCUGUAAUCCCAGCACUUAGGGAGGCCAAGGCGCGUGGUUCACUUGAGGUCUGGAGUUCGAGACCAGCUUGGCCAACAUGGUGAAACCCCAUCUCUACUAACAAUACAAAAAUUAGCCAGGCAUGGUGGCGUGCACCUGUAAUCCCAGCUACUCAGGAGGCUGAGGCAGGAGAAUCUCUUGAACCCGGGAGGUGGAGGUUGCAGUGAGCCAAGAUCGCACCACUGCACUCCAGCCUGGGCAACUGAGUGAGACUCUGUCUCAAAAAAAAAAAAAAAAAGACAUCUACAUGUUUGUUUUCUUGAAUAGUUCAUUUGGAACAUGCCUCUUUUUUCCACCCUUUAUCCCCUUUAUGGACUAUAAAGCCCUUGGGGGCAAAAUCUUGUUUUCCUCAUCACUGCAUCCACUGUAGAGACUUCCUUGCAUACAGGAGCUGCUCGGAAACUGUUUGUGAUCUGGCCCCACCCCCUAGUUUCAGCUCUGUUCUAUUUGGUGAUUGUUGAAACUGUUUGGAUGGCUUAUGAGCCUUUUUCAAAAUAAAGUUUUAUAUCAAAUCUCACCUUGG